AUUUGGGCAAUGGACGCAAGUCUGACCCAGCCAUCCCGCGUGCAGGACGAAUGCCCUAUGGGUUGUAAACUGCUUUUGUUUGGGAAGAAAUGUAUUCUUUUAAGAGUAUUUGACGGUACCAGACGAAUAAGCACCGGCUAACUCCCGUGCCAGCAGCCGCGGUAAUACGGAGGGUGCAAGCGUUAUCCGGAAUCACUGGGUUUAAAGGGUGCGUAGGCGGCCAUAUAAGUCAGAGGUGAAAGUUUCCGGCUCAACCGGGAGAUUGCCUUUGAUACUGUUUGGCUUGAAUCAGAUUGAGGUUGGCGGAAUGUGACAUGUAGCGGUGAAAUGCAUAGAUAUGUCAUAGAACAUCGAUUGCGAAGGCAGCUGGCUGGAUCUGUAUUGACGCUGAGGCACGAAAGCGUGGGGAGCAAACAGGAUUAGAUACCC
RNAcentral lists this ribosomal RNA (429 nucleotides) under Bacteroidetes bacterium SCGC AAA023-N17. Its description in RNAcentral is "bacterial SSU rRNA". It matches the Rfam family "Bacterial small subunit ribosomal RNA", at positions 362 to 787 of the family's 1533-position model. Lineage: Bacteria; Pseudomonadati; Bacteroidota. The record is from RNAcentral.